Molecule: ribosomal RNA, 536 nt
Filed under: uncultured Thermotogaceae bacterium
Lineage: Bacteria; Thermotogati; Thermotogota; Thermotogae; Thermotogales; Thermotogaceae
Description: bacterial SSU rRNA
Rfam family: Bacterial small subunit ribosomal RNA
Source: RNAcentral
CCUACGGGAGGCAGCAGUGGGGAAUCUUGGACAAUGGGCGAAAGCCUGAUCCAGCGACGCCGCGUGGAGGAAGAAGUCCUUCGGGAUGUAAACUUCUGAACUAGCCGAAUAAAAGGCCUGUGGACACACAGGAGAAGAAAGUAGGCUAGGAAAAGUCCCGGCUAACUACGUGCCAGCAGCCGCGGUAAGACGUAGGGGGCAAGCGUUACCCGGAAUUACUGGGCGUAAAGGGGGCGUAGGCGGUAAAAGAAGUCAUCUGUGAAAACCUAUUGCUCAACGAUAGGCUAGCGGAUGAAACUGAAUUACUUGAGGGCACCAGAGGUAGACGGAAUUACCCGAGUAGGGGUGAAAUCCGCAGAUACGGGUAGGAACGCCGGUGGAGAAGUCGGUCUACUGGGGUGCACCAGACGCUGAGGCCCGAAAGCUAGGGGAGCAAACCGGAUUAGAUACCCGGGUAGUCCUAGCCGUAAACGAUGCUCACUAGGUGUAGGGAGUGAUAAACUCUCUGUGCUGAAGCGAACGCGNUAAGUGAGCCG